CGAGACCCCUGGCGUCGGUGAUUUGUCGUUGGGCCAUCAUACCAGUUAUUCUAGAAAGACGCUGCUACCCAAUCUGCUGUGAAAAGCUAAGACUGGGGCGGCUGCUGCAGCCUUUCUCUUCCUGCUUCUGUGAUGUCCUGGUGACUGGAAUGAAGAGGUGGUGCUGGGACAACCGGUCCCACUUGUGUCACCCUCACCCUGCCGCACAAAGUCCUCUGUGACCUCUUUUCUGAACAUCUACAUUCUAGACCAGUGGUUCUCAACCUUCCUAAUGCCGCGACCCUUGAAUACAGUUCCUCAUGUUGUGGUGACCCCCAAUUUCAUUGUUACAAAUUGA
Molecule: long non-coding RNA, 337 nt
Organism: Myotis lucifugus (little brown bat)
Lineage: Eukaryota; Metazoa; Chordata; Mammalia; Chiroptera; Vespertilionidae
Exons: 3
Source: RefSeq, a predicted model, not a curated record